RNAcentral lists this transfer RNA (72 nucleotides) under Crassvirales sp. RNAcentral's name for it is "tRNA-Arg". It matches the Rfam family "tRNA". From Rfam's summary of the family: Transfer RNA (tRNA) molecules are approximately 80 nucleotides in length. Their secondary structure includes four short double-helical elements and three loops (D, anti-codon, and T loops). The record is from RNAcentral. RNAcentral also lists the same sequence under 1 other name. Lineage: Duplodnaviria; Heunggongvirae; Uroviricota; Caudoviricetes; Crassvirales.
GCCCUCAUAGUUCAGUGGAUAGAACAAGAGUUUCCUAAACUUUAGACAGAGGUUCGAGUCCUCUUGGGGGUA